This 446-nucleotide ribosomal RNA is filed under the name uncultured bacterium. Its description in RNAcentral is "partial 16S ribosomal RNA". It matches the Rfam family "Bacterial small subunit ribosomal RNA", at positions 329 to 792 of the family's 1533-position model. The record is from RNAcentral.
GGCCAGACUCCUACGGGAGGCAGCAGUGGGGAAUAUUGCACAAUGGGGGAAACCCUGAUGCAGCGACGCCGCGUGAGCGAAGAAGUAUUUCGGUAUGUAAAGCUCUAUCAGCAGGGAAGAAAUUGGCGGUACCUGAGUAAGAAGCUCCGGCUAAAUACGUGCCAGCAGCCGCGGUAAUACGUAGGUGGCAAGCGUUGUCCGGAUUUACUGGGUGUAAAGGGCGUGCAGCCGGGAAGACAAGUCAGAUGUGAAAUCCUGCGGCUCAACCGCAGAACUGCAUUUGAAACUGUAGGUCUUGAGUACUGGAGAGGCAGGCGGAAUUCCUAGUGUAGCGGUGAAAUGCGUAGAUAUUAGGAGGAACACCAGUGGCGAAGGCGGCCUGCUGGGCUUUAACUGACGCUGAGGCUCGAAAGCGUGGGGAGCAAACAGGAUUAGAUACCCUAGUA